This is a long non-coding RNA of Lineus longissimus, 2600 nucleotides long. RefSeq lists it as uncharacterized. The transcript is spliced from 3 exons. The record is from RefSeq and is a predicted model, not a curated record. NCBI's taxonomy places the organism in Eukaryota, Metazoa, Nemertea, Pilidiophora, Heteronemertea, Lineidae.
AAAUUAGUGUCUAGUUUCGUCUCUGAUGACAUUUAUUUCGUAAAAAUCGCUGUUUUUUUCUAAAAAGGUGUUUUUGUGGUCAUUUUGGCUGUUUAUUUCGAGGGUACGGUAGGAGGUCAUCGUUCACUCGAUAACUCUUUUUAAAAUGAAAUAAAAGCGUCUUAAGAUACAUGAUAUGAAUUGAUAUUAAUAUUCGUUAAGUGGGAUUGUCGGUGGACGUUCAUUGGUGAACAGUUGUGCUGGAAUUACGAAAAUAUAUCGAUAUCGUUGAGAGUUCAUUCAUUAGGGGCCUGCUCUCAAUUUUCCUUACAACGCCUCUAGCACUGGGCAAUUGCCACCAUCUUGAAAAGCAGUGCCGCGGAUGGCUAUCGCAUCGCCACUACGCAUGAGAACACGAUGGCUGCCCUGCGCUGCAUUGAUAGUUCGUAAUAAAUUCACAUAAAAACACACCAGAAGAUCUCCGAUUUUAUUUGACGGUGUUUCGAUAACUCAGGUCAGUUUCACGGCAAAAAUAAGUGGUAGUUUUGAAAUUCGAAUGUGCAUUUAUUGAUGUAACGAUAAAGUACAUUUCCGAGAAUAAUUAGUGAAAGUUUCAGUAGGUGUCGAUUUUUGUAAAGUAGUGUAUAGGCGAUGGAUUGGCUCAGCCAUGUGCUCGUCGUGUCAGCGGGGCGCAAGCCGUCAUGGGAUGGGGGAUGUACACUACUACAAUGCACGUGAUUGAUGGUUGAACAUUCAUUCUCGUUGACAGUGUAUUAUUGAAAUAUUUGAUUGUGAUGAUGGUGUAUUGUACUAGGCCUUGCAUGCUCCCAACGUGUGGCAUAUUUCACAUUGAUACUACCAGUAUCAAUUACAAAAAAAUAGAUUGUGAGUAACAAUAGGCCUACAAACAAUGCUACAUGUCAUGAGGGUGGGAACGGGGAAGGGGGGGGGUAACUGUCUCGACGUCCCGUUAGGAAAAAAGGCUUAUCCCGUUUCCCAAUACGCAAUUUUAGCCGAAUCGUGACGCAAAACACGGCUUGUCUCGAAUCCCGCUAAAAUAAGGGUGUCUAUCCCGAAUCCCGACAGUUAUUUUCGGCCCAUCCCAGUGUCCCGAAAAUACCCGUUCUCCCCCUCAUACAUAGUAAACCAUAUUGUCACAUUGAUGUUUUCUUUCAUUACAGUUAGACUUCGAGAUCUACAUUUUCGACAAAGGCCUGGUGUAAUAUUAUUACGUACUUGAUGAAGGUUUAAUGACACGAAUGAGUACAAGUACAUUACAUUUUUCGACGAAGGCCUUCUGUAAUUUCAUACGCUUCUUACGCAACAUUCAAUAGAUUUAUUUACUGUAUUAUCAUUUCGACCAAGGCGAAUUCGACACUUCAAUUACACAAGGUUAGUAACUUUUGUUCACAAAAUCCAAAUGGAGGCAAAUACAGAACAAUCAAACUUAGUCAUUCCAGUCAGUUACUGAAGCACAGUGAAAACUGUCGGGAGCAGUGCAACUGAUGGCAUGUCAAACUUCCAGUGACUGUCCCUGUCCAUAUAUUUCAAGACAGUACAAAUCUUGUAAUCAUUUUGUUUAUGCAAUGUACGUUAUUAUGUAUCAUUUCAGCACAAUCAAACUUAGUCAUUCCAGUCAGUUACUGAAGCACAGCGAAAACUGUCUGAAUUAGUGCUGCUGAUGGCAUGUAAUUACUCUACUACCACUACCUGUGACAGUCAAUGUCCAAAUAUUUUCAAGUGUGCGAAAUUAGUACUCGUCUACUUCUUAGUGUUAUUUGAAUGCAAUGUAUGUUAUAAAAAUAUUUUUUCAACACUAUAUCAACAUUCUCAUUCCUGUCAGUUUCUGAAAAUCAGCUAAAGCAAUCGCUACCAAUGCAGCUGAUAACCGCAAUUCUUUUUGUUCCCAAUGCCCAUCCAUGACAAUAUAUUUCACGCAUGUGACAAUCAUGUAAUCAUCCUGUUUUUUGUGUUCUAUUCAUGCAAUAAAUAAAUUCAGUAUUUUCAAAUCAUUGGUGCUACAAAACUAUUCUCAUUAUAGAUUAUUCAUAUUUUAUAAAAUGCUGUCAUGUCAAAUUUUGUGUCCUAUAAAUCAUAAUGAAGUCGGCAUUUUAUAUACAACUUUUGUACUCCUCCUAAAUAAACAUACAAAUCUUGUUUUAUGUAAACUUUGUAUAUGUGACCCGUCACAGCAAAACCAGGCGCAUGUCGCUCUGAGCUUGGCAGGUUGAGACGGACUGUUCUAAUCUUUCAUUAGCGACACCAUUUCUUACCAGAGUGCCUCCUUCAUUCAUACAUCUUGUACUUUAACUCAAGAUACCCAUCUUUGAAUAUUUUUAGUAUACCAAGUACUACGAUGUCAAUGUAUUGAAGUCAUGUUCUUGUAGUGUUAUUGGCUUUCUAUUAUCUUGUCAAAAUACCACUUGGUUCUCGCAAAAUCUCAAUAAAAACAAAUGCUAUUGCAUGUAUUGCAUAUUCUAACAGCUAUCCACUGUAUCGAUUUAUCCAUCAUCUGUACUAUUUGUCACAAAAAUGUUAUAUUAUGUAAAUCAUAUUUCAUUACAUAAUGCACACUGCCAAUUACUGCUGAACCAUUCAUAUGUCAUUUAAAUAAAUAAUUU